ACGAACGGGCCGAUGCCGUACCUGCCGAUGUCAAAGCCGUACAACUGGGCCAUCUCCUUGAGCUCCAUCAGCGCGCGGAUCUGCUCGUUCACCUCCUCGCGGAGGCGGAUCUUCUCCUCAUCCAUCACGCCCAGCAGGUUGUGCUUCAGGUCCGUCUUCUUAGCGGCGAUAAGCGCAUCAACGCCGUACAACGCCACGCGCCUGUAGGCCGUACGUGACACAUUAAGCCAUGCCACGCCACGCGGCCAUAGAAAAGGGAAGGACAACAGUCAAAGGAUGACCCAAGUCCGGACCUAAACUCGAAUCCAGGCAAAACCCAAGCAACAUACAUUCACGUGCCUGUAAUCGCCGAUGAUGCGGCCACGGCCAUAGCCAUCUGGCAGGCCCGUCAGAAUGCCGCUCUUGCGCGCCGCUCGCAUCUCAUCCGUGUAGGCAUCGAACACCCCGGCGUUGUGCGUCUUGCGGACAGACGUGUAAACCUGUUCAACCUGUUUGUUUUGGAGCAAAGGAAAACGAGAAGCAAACGUAACCCUUCAUGCAGCAUGUGCAAAUGGGAAUUGUGCAUUUAAGUUACACUGUUUCCUGAACUAAACCUACAUAUAGACUUGCCGUACAAUCUCGUACCUCCGGAUCGGGCUUGAAGCCGUACGACUCCAACGCCGCCUUUACCACGUUUAUACCUCCCAGCGGCUUGAUCGCUCGCUUCAGGGGCUUGUCGGUUUGGAGGCCCACGACCUGCUCAAGGUCCUUGUCGAUGUAGCCGGGGGGAAAGCCAGCAAUGGUUGAGGGCUUGCUAGGAUCCACGUCCAGGACGCCCACUUUUAGCUGUGCACGGGAUCCGCAGAGAUGAGACGGGAGAGCGCGAGGCGUGGCUUCUCAUGUUGAUUGAUUGGUGAACUAAUAUUGUGGGUGACUGGUGGUUGGGUGAAAUCGUUAUGGCGAUUUUAGGCGUUGGCUGCGAUGAGGAGGGCCACCUAAGCAAGGCUUUCCCCACGCCGUUGGUCGGAACGACGAACCGGCGAUGCUCUCGCACAUGGUCUCACUCCUCUUCAACACACAAAACGCCAACCCAGGACCCACCCCAGCCCCACCCCACCUCCUCGCUGAGUAGCUUCUCUAAUUUGCCCCAUAGCGCCUUGGUGCGGGGAGUAGCAGGGGCCAGGAACUUUGCAUCGCCGUACGUAUACGGCUUGUAGUUAUCCUGAAACCAGCGGACAGCCCGUUUGGUCGUUAACGGUCCCAACCAGUCGAGCGCACCAUACACCGCAAAAUACAUCAAGACGCGUAGAUAUAUAACUCCUUAUGGAACGUCGUAUGUGCGUGGUACAAAUUCAACUUGGUCGUACCUGUACGUAGCGCCCGGCGUCAAUAUCGGUGUUCACUGCCGGUUUUGGCCGCGGAUCUGGCAGGCAAAACAGGGCGUCCGCCUGGCCGCUUGGCACUUGCAGCUGCUGCUGCUGCUGCGGCGGCGGCGGCCGCUGCUGCCCAAGCGGCGCGGCAUGGCUGGCAGCCGCAGUGGUGAAACAUCCGCUGUGUGGGUGAGGCGGAAGGCGGAGGGCAUAGGUAGGGACGCAGGGAAGUGCGCAUGGGACGUGGACAUCCUGGCAUCUCAUUUUUCUCUCACUACCUCUAUCUAUAUAUGUAUCUCUCACUUACACGCACACACACACACAUGUUCUCUCUCUCUCUCUCUCACUCGAGCCGCCUUUGCCGCCACGCCUCCCACCACCAGCACCACCCAUGCAUGGGUGGGCCCCGCGCAGACGGUGAGAACCAACACUAACACACAAUGAUCCCGAUCCAGAUGUUGAAGAUAGAAACCUCUCGUUUUGAUAUAACUCGAAACACACGUGCAUGUGCGUGUGUUGCAAACCCGGCUCCAUUCAAGUCCCGCUUCCAGCAGCCCUUCCGUGCCCCACUAACAACACAUAGGCAAUCCCUGCGCCGCUUCCAAACUCACCGAGGCCGUCGGAGGAGCGGCAGCCGAGCCAGGGCCGUCACAGCUAACUUCGGGCAGGCUGCUAGCGGACUGUCAGCUGCGUGCCUUGCCAUCCGCAUCCUGGAUAUCAGAAGAAGAAGAAGAGGCCAGAUUGUGCGAAAUGCGGGGUUUGGCAGAGGAUAAAUGUGAGUGGCUAGCUGCAGCGAUGUGCUCGGGAAGGAUCGUCCCUUGUGCAAUCGUACGGCGACGGAGGAUUUGAGGGGCGCCCUCACGUCAAGCUCCAUGCAUGUGCUGGGGAUGUACAGCAUACAUGACAAAUUCCCGCAGCCCGGUAUUGCGAAAUCAGUCGGGGGAUCCGGCGGGGUUCGCACCUUUCCGUGCUCAGCGCCUGUGUCGGCAUGCCGUCAAGAAGCAAGAAGCUAUUGUUAUUGCUGCCGCCCGCUGGGGAGGUGGCGAUGGGAAUCCGGGAGGACGCGGACGAUGGCGGCUGGCGGCCGGCAAGGGACGAUUGCUUCAGGAUCAGUUGUGAUGCUGUGAGCAGCAGUCGAGCUCCGUGGAGACUGAGCGGGCUCGGUCAGUCGAGUGUGCACACAAGUAAAAGCGAGCUUUCUAGUAGUUGGUCAGUUCUGUCAGUUGGCGUCUUCGUGACGAAACAUGGGCUGGCUUGAAAGAUGGGACGAUAGCUGAGGUUUGUAAGGGAAAAGCAAUAAAGCAGCGUAAAAUGGUUUGUACAAGACUUGGUAGUGAGGUGAACCGUGGGUCAGUCGUGUGAAAGGAGGCACGUCUUUUUGUUCGUUCAGUGAAUUAAUAUUUUUGGACACCUCUCUUGACUGAUAAUACCAGAGGAUAAUGCAGAGGAAUCAGGGCACGCGGGGAAUUUUAAGGUAGUCUCCGAUGCUGUACGCUGGUACCAUCGUACGCUUUUGUACCAAAGCUCUGUCCUGUCUAAAAUCCAUGACACAACGUAAGCAUCCUACGUAAAUCAGCAUCAUACAUAAUAAAAUGUUGAGGUCGAACUAACGUCACAAAACGAGCGGCGACGAACUGAACAUGAAAGCGAUAGGAGCCCGAGAGGGGACCAGAUGCUAAAAGCAUAAUAAGAUGUCCGGCUGAUUGCGGUAGUGCGUAGCUUCACCCAUGGAUGCGAAAUGAACAUCCGGCUGUAAGAGAAUUAAUUGAUGGGCCGAUGGUGCCGAUUGAUUAGCCGAUGGUGGAAUACGCAUCGAAGGCAUGCCGCGCGGCAUCCCGUUGCACUGUGAGGCUCGACCCUUGUUUUUGUGUUCCGCACAUAGCGCAGCUUUGUGCUGUUAUUUCGGUUCACGAUGAUAGUUAUGAAACCAGGAAAUUCCAGUACUGUUGCAACGUGCAAUUUUUUCGGGACUAGGACAAGGAGACAAGGACGUUGGAUGAUGCUGUUUCCCGAUUGCGUCUACAGACAAUCAUGUUCAUACUUCUAGCUCCGGACAAAUAUUGCCGGAAGGCCACUUAAAUAGCGUCCAAUGUCGUGCAUCAGCCAAAGGGGCCCUGCAGGGCUUUGGACCGGGUUCUGAAACCACAGCCUCAUACACGCAGGGGUCGCUUGACAGAUGACGAACAACAUUCCGCGUUUUUGAUUUGUUUAAUUCAUGAGUGAUACGCUUGCAGCAAUAGUCUCAUCGGGUGUAAUCCAGCGGCUCAGGGGUUAACAAGGAGGCAUUUUCGUGUCAUAAAUUCUUCCACCCAUAAUGCAUGUAUGAUUUGAAUUGUGGUGGACUAGAUUUAUAUCAGCCUGCUAUAAGUACACUAUGUGAGUUGCGCACAGUAAAAGGAGUCGGGAAAAUACACAACUCCACUAGACACGUUUCACGUUACAUAUAAAUCUGGGCGUUGGGCUCAAACGUUUCACAGUGCUUCAAUAUUCCCUUUACAUUUCUCCUUGCAGUAUCCAAAUGGGUUACAUGACGUGACAGACAUGAUCGCAAGCCGCACGAUCCCGUGUACAGAAAGUCAGCAAGUGUACGUUAUGUGUACACAAACCUACGCAACGUGCGGGGAUAACUCCCAACGAAGAAACACUUCUAGAACUAUCUACAGGAUAAUAAGCCACUCACCCGGCCGCAACCCCUCAAAACUCAGCAGGCUUAGCAGCGCAUUCAGAUAACAAAUGCAACUCACUCGUUGACUGGGGGUAGCCGACUUGAUUGAUACAUUUCCCGUGUCAUUGCUUCAAUAAGAGCAUAGCGCAAAGGCGCAUACGCUUAUUUCUGUAACAUAUACGCCGAGCACUAGCCAGGUAAGGGGAAAGCCCUCUCACCAUAUUUAUUGUCAGGUCGAAAGUCGGCAAACGCCCGGCAAAUAAUUGAGGAGGCUAGCCAAUGCAGGGCCAAACAUUUCCGCUCAAGGUUUCAUAUGAUAUCACAACCGCAUUUGGUGCAUACAUCUAUGCGCAACGUCUGCAAACAACUAACCAACGGGGCUCACCGCUUUAAGAACGCCAAGCCAUAAACAUCAGGAGCAUGCGACCUGAGAUGCUUUGCUGAUAGCGGAAAUAAUGAACGAAUCUCUUAUUCACGAUAUCCUCACGACUCUUCGGCAUGCCACAUGUACAAUAAUGAUUGAUGCCACUCGCUUUUGUUAAGCUCACACGGUAACACAAGGCAUUACCUCCCACGUUAAGCGACUAACACAUACAUGGGCCCCCCUCUGCAAUCCUUCAACGCCGCCGCUCAGCUCCUCCUCCGUGGUGGUGUCACAACUUAUUACAUGGUCUCGUGGAAGGUGCGGGCGAUGACCUCGAGCUGCUGCUCCCGGGUAAGUCGGGCAAAGUGCACCGCGUAGCCGGAGACGCGGAUGGUGAGGUUGGGGUACUUCUCGGGGUGCUGCAGAGAGAGAUGGGGAAGGAUUGUAGGCGAUGAGGAACGUGAGAGCUCGAAAUGCCAAAGAGGAAAGACGACACGGUCAGCUGGCAACUUAUCCCGCAUGGGGAACACCUUAACCUGGCUAAAGCAGGAAUGGGAUCGACGAACACAUCAAGCAUCCGAACCUCACCUCCACGGCGUCCAUAAGCAUUGCGCGGUUGAGCACAUUGACGUUGAUGUGGUGGCCACCAGUUACGAAGUAGCCGUCCAGGAUGGAGGACAGGUUAGCAGCGCGCUCAGGUUCACCGCCUUUGCCCAGAACCUACAAGAGCCACACGGGCGCAAAGGAGAGCAACCUAGUAAGGAUGAGGAGGAAGAGGUUAAUAAGGGUAUUAAGCUUCAGUCAUAGCAAUGCAAGGUCGUCGUAAAACUCUGCGAAGCGCGUCCAUCGGGCUGGUCAUCAUCUGCUUCUGGGAAUUUCCAACCUCCGCCCCUCCGCCGUGUUCUCCUCCCCACAGCAACUAACCUGAGGAAUUAGGGAGAAGGUGUUGGAGAUGCCGUCCAGGCAGCUGGUGUAUGGCAGCUUGGCCACGGAGUUGAGGGACGCCAGAGCGCCGUGCGAGUCGCGGCCGUGCAGGGGGUUGGCUCCCGGCGCGAAGGGCUCACCCUUCUUGCGGCCGUCAGGAGUGCUACCGGUCUUCUUGCCGUACACCACAUUGGAGGUGAUGGUCAAGACCGACAGCGUGGGGAUGGAGUUGCUGUGCGGGUAGGAAGGGGGCAGGGAUGAUUGGGGCGAAGGGCGGAAGGAGGAAGGUUUAUACCCUAAGUUGUAUGAGGGGUGACCGAGGCCGGCGUCAGCGCGAGCAUUGUGCAGCAUAUUGCAAAAUCAAGAACCCCUAUGCUGAAUCACCAACGAUUCUCAAGUGCACUUACCGGUACGUGUGUUGACUUGAUAGCUUCUUAGAGAACGUCGAUGUGAUCCACUCCGCAAUCUCAUCAGCGCGGUCAUCAUCAUUUCCGUACUUGGGGAAGGUGCCAUCAACGACGAAGUCCACCAUAAUACCCUUCUCGUCAUACACCGGGGUUACUUUGGCGUACUUGAUGGCGGACAGCGAAUCGGUCACGACAGAUAGACCCGAAAUACCGAAGGCCAGCAGGCGGCGUACGUAGGUAUCAUGCAGGGCCAUUUGCAGACGCUCGUAGUCGUACUUGUCAUGCAUGUCUGUGUGGGAACAGCAGCGAUGCAUGGCCGUUAACACACGCCGCACAGAAACGCAUCCCAGAAUUAAACGACACAUGCAGCAAAGCUACAAGCACCAAAAGACGCCGUGCCUGCCCCACAACUCACAGUGGAUAACGUUCAUGGUGUUGGCGUACAGCGAGGCCAGCCACUCCAUGCCGUCCUCAAGUUUGGCACGGACCUCCUCGAAGUCCAGUGGGGCGUCCUUCACACGCACCGAGGCGAACUUGGGGCCAGCCUGCGCACCAGUCACUUCGUCGCGGCCCUGCAACGGGAGAGGAGAACAGAGGCGCGCAGGGUUCAAAUGCUGGACGGAUGUAGGGUGUGGGUCGGGUCACAGGCAGAUAACACGGACGCGCACAUCCUACCCUCGCACCUGGUUCAGGACGUAGAGCAUCAGCUUGGGAAGGUUGGCACGCGCACCGAAGUACUGCAUGUCCUUGCCCACCCUCAUGGCGGACACGCAGCAUGCGAUGGAGUAGUCGGAGCCGAACAGGCGGCUCAUCAGCCGGUCAGAUUCGUACUGGAUGGAGGACGUGUCCAGAGACACCUUGGAGCAGAAGUCCUUGAAGGGCUGCGGCAGGUUCUCGUUCCACAGCACCGUCAGAUUGGGCUCGGGCGCCGGGCCCAGGUUGUAGAGCGUGUUGAGCAUGCGGAAGCUGGUCUUCGUGACCAUGGGCUUGCCGGCUGCGUCCGUGCCGCCCAGCACGCAGGUCACCCAGGUGGGGUCGCCCGCGAACAGGGCGUUGUACUCGGGCGUGCGCAGCUGCCGCACAAUCCGCAACUUCAUGACGAAGUGGUCCACCAGCUCCUGAACCUCGGCCUCUGUAAUGGUGCCCGCGGCCAGGUCGCGCUCGAAGUAGGUGUCCAGGAAGGCGUCGAUGCGACCCAGGCUCAUAGCGGCGCCAUCUGGCAAUACGGUUUGAGGGGAGAGCAAGGGGGAAAGCGACUUGUCAGAAUCGCGAGGUGUUGGAUUGUGAGAGAAGUUAGUUGGUGCCGAGUCAACUGGCUCAUGAGCAUGUAGGAUUUCCAAGGUAAGACCUGAUGCUAGGCCAGGUGAUGGAUGCAUUACAUUACAUCAGCGCAUUGCUUUCCGAAUCGUGGGGGUGCGUGGGCGAUGCGCAUCCUCAGCGCACCUUGUUCCUUGACAGCCCCUAGGUAGGCGAAGUACAACCACUGCACGGCUUCCCUGGAGUUCUGGGCGGGCCUGAGGGGGCAGCAAGGGGGAAAAGACCGUGGCGGCGGCGGGGGUUAACACAGCAUCCGCAGAGUAUGUGGACGAGGUUGGCCGACUUGAAACGGAGCUUCAUGGCCAUGUGGGCCUACCGGCAAACGAACGGGCCGAUGCCGUACCUGCUGAUGUCAAAGCCGUAAGACUGGGCCAUUUCCUUGAGCUCCAUCAGCGCGCGGAUCUGCUCGUUCACCUCCUCGCGGAGGCGGAUCUUCUCCUCAUCCAUCACGCCCAGCAGGUUGUGCUUCAGGUCCGUCUUCUUAGCGGCGAUAAGCGCAUCAACGCCGUACAAUGCCACGCGCCUGUAGGCCGUACGUGACACAUUAAGCCAUGCCACGCCACGCGGCCAAAGAAAAGGGCAGGACAACAGCCAAAGGAUGACCCAAGUCCGGAUCUAAACUCGAAUAAAGGCAAAACCCAAGCAACAUACAUUCACGUGC
Molecule: long non-coding RNA, 7687 nt
Filed under: Volvox carteri
Lineage: Eukaryota; Viridiplantae; Chlorophyta; Chlorophyceae; Chlamydomonadales; Volvocaceae
Description: long non-coding RNA (VCAR_LNC003298)
Source: RNAcentral